Molecule: small nuclear RNA, 107 nt
Organism: Cavia porcellus (domestic guinea pig)
Lineage: Eukaryota; Metazoa; Chordata; Mammalia; Rodentia; Caviidae
Source: RefSeq, a predicted model, not a curated record
GUGCUCACUUUGGCAGCACAUGUACUAUAAUUGGAACAAUACAGAGAAGAUUAACACAGCCCCGGCACAAGGAUGACACACAAAUUUGUGAAGCGUUCCAUAUUGUU